Molecule: ribosomal RNA, 329 nt
Filed under: uncultured eukaryote
Lineage: Eukaryota
Description: partial 18S ribosomal RNA
Rfam family: Eukaryotic small subunit ribosomal RNA
Source: RNAcentral
CCCUUAGAUGUUCUGGGCCGCACGCGCGCUACACUGAUGCAUUCAACGAGUCUAAAACCUGCUCUGAUAGGGGUGGGUAAUCUUUUGAAUGUGCAUCGCGAUUGGGAUAGAUGAUUGCAAUUUUUCAUCUUCAACGAGGAAUGCCUAGUAAACGCAAGUCAUCAGCUUGCAUUGAUUACGUCCCUGCCCUUUGUACACACCGCCCGUCGCUCCUACCGAUUGAAUGAUCCGAUGAAUAUCAUGGAUUGAGGAUUAUAGCAGGUUCGCCUGUCUUGAUCUUCGAGAAGUGAAGUAAAUCUUAUCAUUUAGAGGAAGGAGAAGUCGUAACA